UACGUAGGGGGCUAGCGUUGUCCGGAAUCAUUGGGCGUAAAGCGCGUGUAGGCGGCCCGGUAAGUCCGCUGUGAAAGUCGGGGGCUCAACCCUCGGAUGCCGGUGGAUACUGUCGGGCUAGAGUGCGGAAGAGGCGAGUGGAAUUCCUGGUGUAGCGGUGAAAUGCGCAGAUAUCAGGAGGAACACCAAUUGCGAAGGCAGCUCGCUGGGACAUGACUGACGCUGAGACGCGAAAGCGUGGGGAGCAAACGGG
RNAcentral lists this ribosomal RNA (253 nucleotides) under uncultured bacterium. RNAcentral describes it as "partial 16S ribosomal RNA". It matches the Rfam family "Bacterial small subunit ribosomal RNA", at positions 524 to 776 of the family's 1533-position model. The record is from RNAcentral.